GACGAACGCUGGCGGCGUGCUUAACACAUGCAAGUCGAACGGAAAGGCCCUGCUUUUGUGGGGUGCUCGAGUGGCGAACGGGUGAGUAACACGUGAGUAACCUGCCCUUGACUUUGGGAUAACUUCAGGAAACUGGGGCUAAUACCGGAUAGGAGCUCCUGCUGCAUGGUGGGGGUUGGAAAGUUUCGGCGGUUGGGGAUGGACUCGCGGCUUAUCAGCUUGUUGGUGGGGUAGUGGCUUACCAAGGCUUUGACGGGUAGCCGGCCUGAGAGGGUGACCGGCCACAUGGGGACUAAGAGAGGCCCCAGCCGCCAAUGGGAGGCAGAGGGGGGAAAUAUGACAGAGGGGGGGGACGCGAGAGACGACAGCCCCCGGUGCGGAAUGCGGGCUUUGGGGUGGAAAACCGCUUUCUCAGGAAAGAAGGGGGGAUUGACGGUAAUGGAUAAGAAAGCCCCGGCUAACUACGUG
RNAcentral lists this ribosomal RNA (468 nucleotides) under uncultured bacterium. RNAcentral describes it as "partial 16S ribosomal RNA". It matches the Rfam family "Bacterial small subunit ribosomal RNA", at positions 28 to 507 of the family's 1533-position model. The record is from RNAcentral.